ACUGCAGCCUGAAUUACUUUACAUUGCAGAAUAUGAUGAAUGGAGAGCUAUGAGAUAUGAUUAGUAUCUCCCUCUUUUGGGGAACAGCAACACCCCUUAAGAGCCAUUCUGUU
RNAcentral lists this small nucleolar RNA (113 nucleotides) under Pundamilia nyererei. RNAcentral describes it as "U8 small nucleolar RNA (ENSPNYG00000018874.1)". It matches the Rfam family "U8 small nucleolar RNA". From Rfam's summary of the family: U8 is a member of the C/D class of snoRNA which contain the C (UGAUGA) and D (CUGA) box motifs. U8 is the RNA component of a small complex (the U8 snoRNP) which is required for accumulation of mature large subunit ribosomal RNAs, 5.8S and 28S rRNAs. U8 RNA has been identified in human, mouse, rat and Xenopus. Lineage: Eukaryota; Metazoa; Chordata; Actinopteri; Cichliformes; Cichlidae. The record is from Rfam by way of RNAcentral.